RNAcentral lists this unclassified non-coding RNA (251 nucleotides) under Hevea brasiliensis (rubber tree). The record is from RNAcentral. Lineage: Eukaryota; Viridiplantae; Streptophyta; Magnoliopsida; Malpighiales; Euphorbiaceae.
CACAAACAGAGUUUCCCAAUGGGAAGCCAGGGAUAUGCCAUUUCCGAGUUUCUUCAGAUGUAAUUUGAGAUGUUAAGGGGAUUGAUGACAACGAAGUUUCAAUAGGCAUCUGAUUUUUAUAUAAUUCUUUCCUUUUAACUUCAUCCAUUAAGUCCCUCUGUAUUCUGUAUAGGCGGUGAAGUUCACACAGCUGCAUCUUAAAUAUGGCCUCAUGCUCCAGCAUUUUCUGCUUUACUACAUCCUUGUCAUAU